This 293-nucleotide long non-coding RNA is filed under the name Panax ginseng (ginseng). RNAcentral's name for it is "long non-coding RNA (PGIN_LNC015283)". Lineage: Eukaryota; Viridiplantae; Streptophyta; Magnoliopsida; Apiales; Araliaceae. The record is from RNAcentral.
GCGGCAUGUCCUUGUCCCUUAAGUGGCGGCCUAAAUGCUCUGAAAAAUCAUCUCAUCUCAUCUCAUGUCAUGUCCGUCCUAUGCUGAUACAACUAGGCACUAGCAAAGUUUGUUUCUAGUUAUCUAACUAUAUAGCUGUGUAUAGUAUAGCUACCAACAAUUCAGUCUCAUCUGUAAUUUAAACCAACUCCAUGGAUAAUUUAGUUGCAUAGCUAUUUACCCUUUUUCCUCAAAUUUUCCAAGUUCCAUAUAUUCCAUUAUUUCUCUCUUUCAAAUUGGAUCAUCAUUCAUCA